CCUACGGGAGGCAGCAGUGAGGAAUAUUGGUCAAUGGACGAGAGUCUGAACCAGCCAAGUAGCGUGAAGGAUGACUGCCCUAUGGGUUGUAAACUUCUUUUAUAUGGGAAUAAAACGUUCCACGUGUGGGAUUUUGUAUGUACCAUAUGAAUAAGGAUCGGCUAACUCCGUGCCAGCAGCCGCGGUAAUACGGAGGAUCCGAGCGUUAUCCGGAUUUAUUGGGUUUAAAGGGAGCGUAGGUGGAUUGUUAAGUCAGUUGUGAAAGUUUGCGGCUCAACCGUAAAAUUGCAGUUGAAACUGGCAGUCUUGAGUACAGUAGAGGUGGGCGGAAUUUGUGGUGUAGCGGUGAAAUGCUUAGAUAUCACGAAGAACUCCGAUUGCGAAGGCAGUUCACUGGACUGCAACUGACACUGAGGCUCGAAAGUGUGGGUAUCAAACAGGAUUAGAUACCCUGGUAGUG
This 460-nucleotide ribosomal RNA is filed under the name uncultured bacterium. Its description in RNAcentral is "partial 16S ribosomal RNA". It matches the Rfam family "Bacterial small subunit ribosomal RNA", at positions 338 to 795 of the family's 1533-position model. The record is from RNAcentral.